AUGCAGGCUAGCGAGCUGAAACAGAAAGUUGCUAAGAAUAGGAAGCUUGUGGAACAGUAUGAGCUUGAGUUGGAAGAAUGUGAAGCACAGAAGAAGGAAUUGAUUGAGAAGCUGAAAACAGUGUGUGAGAAAGAGAUUCUUUGUAAAGAGAAUCUGGCCAGAGCAAAGGAUGAGUCUGCUACUACAUCACGAGUAGCUGGGUUUGCCAUAACUAAAGUCGGACGCUUUCUUAAUUGCUCAAUGGUUGAUGCUUUGAUUUAA
Non-coding RNA from Vicia faba (fava bean), 261 nucleotides. The record is from the annotation of a GenBank genome assembly. Lineage: Eukaryota; Viridiplantae; Streptophyta; Magnoliopsida; Fabales; Fabaceae.